This 88-nucleotide transfer RNA is filed under the name bacterium. Its description in RNAcentral is "tRNA-Ser". It matches the Rfam family "tRNA". From Rfam's summary of the family: Transfer RNA (tRNA) molecules are approximately 80 nucleotides in length. Their secondary structure includes four short double-helical elements and three loops (D, anti-codon, and T loops). The record is from RNAcentral.
GGAGGAUUGCCUGAGUGGUUAAGGGAACAGUUUGCUAAACUGUGACGGCCUAUAAAGCCGUUCGUGGGUUCGAUUCCCACAUCCUCCG